RNAcentral lists this small RNA (295 nucleotides) under Syntrophobotulus glycolicus DSM 8271. RNAcentral describes it as "5' ureB small RNA". It matches the Rfam family "5' ureB small RNA". The record is from Rfam by way of RNAcentral. Lineage: Bacteria; Bacillati; Bacillota; Clostridia; Eubacteriales; Desulfitobacteriaceae.
CGGUUUCAAUCUGCUGCGGGCAAAUAAAAUGAAUAUGGGUAUCGAUGCCGCCGGCGGUCACGAUCAGGCCCUCGCCCGCAAUGACCUCCGUCGCGGCGCCGAUCACCAUAUUGGGGGCGACACCGUCCAUGAUAUCCGGAUUCCCCGCUUUGCCGAUCCCUUCGAUUUUUCCGUUUUUUAUCCCGAUAUCGGCUUUAAUGAUGCCGCUGUAAUCCACGAUGACGGCGUUGGUGAUCAGCAGGUCCAGCGCGCCCUCUUCCCCGGACCGGGAAGGGGACUGCCCCAUGCCGUCCCG